RNAcentral lists this ribosomal RNA (340 nucleotides) under uncultured bacterium. RNAcentral's name for it is "bacterial SSU rRNA". It matches the Rfam family "Bacterial small subunit ribosomal RNA", at positions 28 to 334 of the family's 1533-position model. The record is from RNAcentral.
GACGAACGCUGGCGGCGUGCCUAAUACAUGCAAGUCGAGCGAGCUUGCCUAGAUGAUUUUAGUGCUUGCACUAAAUGAAACUAGAUACAAGCGAGCGGCGGACGGGUGAGUAACACGUGGGUAACCUGCCCAAGAGACUGGGAUAACACCUGGAAACAGAUGCUAAUACCGGAUAAUAAAGCAGAUCGCAUGAUCAGCUUUUGAAAGGCGGCGUGAGCUGUCGCUAAGGGAUGGCCCCGCGGUGCAUUAGCUAGUUGGUAAGGUAACGGCUUACCAAGGCGACGAUGCAUAGCCGAGUUGAGAGACUGAUCGGCCACAUUGGGACUGAGACACGGCCCAA